GAUGAAGAACGCAGCGAAAUGCGAUACGUAAUGUGAAUUGCAGAAUUCAGUGAAUCAUCGAGUCUUUGAACGCACAUUGCGCCCCCUGGUAUUCCGGGGGGCAUGCCUGUCCGAGCGUCAUUGCUGCCCUCAAGCACGGCUUGUGUGUUGGGCCCCCGCCCCCCGGUUCCCGGGGGGCGGGCCCGAAAGGCAGCGGCGGCACCGCGUCCGGUCCUCGAGCGUAUGGGGCUUCGUCACCCGCUCCGUAGGCCCGGCCGGCGCCCGCCGGCGACCCUCCCUCAAUCUUUCCAGGUUGACCUCGGAUCAGGUAGGGAUACCCGCUGAACUUAAGCAUAUCAAUAAGCGGAGGA
Molecule: unclassified non-coding RNA, 350 nt
Filed under: soil metagenome
Description: partial contains 5.8S ribosomal RNA, internal transcribed spacer 2, and large subunit ribosomal RNA
Rfam family: 5.8S ribosomal RNA (bases 1-120)
Source: RNAcentral